This 624-nucleotide ribosomal RNA is filed under the name uncultured cyanobacterium. RNAcentral's name for it is "bacterial SSU rRNA". It matches the Rfam family "Bacterial small subunit ribosomal RNA", at positions 129 to 785 of the family's 1533-position model. Lineage: Bacteria; Bacillati; Cyanobacteriota. The record is from RNAcentral.
UCCUUAGGUCGGGGACAACAGAAGGAAACUUCUGCUAAUCCCGGAUGAGCCGUGAGGUAAAAGAGAAAUUGCCUGGAGAUGAGCUCGCGUCUGAUUAGCUAGUUGGUGGGGUAAAAGCGUACCAAGGCAACGAUCAGUAGCUGGUCUGAGAGGAUGAGCAGCCACACUGGGACUGAGACACGGCCCAGACUCCUACGGGAGGCAGCAGUGGGGAAUUUUCCGCAAUGGGCGAAAGCCUGACGGAGCAAGACCGCGUGGGGGAGGAAGGCUCUAGGGUUGUAAACCCCUUUUCUUUGGGAAGAACAAAAUGACGGUACCAAAGGAAUCAGCCUCGGCUAACUCCGUGCCAGCAGCCGCGGUAAUACGGAGGAGGCAAGCGUUAUCCGGAAUGAUUGGGCGUAAAGCGUCCGCAGGUGGCCAUGUAAGUCUGCUGUCAAAACCCAGGGCUCAACUCUGGUCAGGCAGUGGAAACUACAAAGCUAGAGUCUGGUAGGGGCAAAGGGAAUUCCCGGCGUANCGGUGAAAUGCGUANAUUUCGGGAAGAACAUCGGUGGCGAAAGCGCUUUGCUAGACCAGAACUGACACUCAGGGACGAAAGCUAGGGGAGCGAAUGGGAUUAGAUAC